UACGUAGGGAGCGAGCGUUGUCCGGAAUUAUUGGGCGUAAAGCGCGCGCAGGCGGUCUCUUAAGUCUGAUGUGAAAGCCCACGGCUCAACCGUGGAGGGUCAUUGGAAACUGGGAGACUUGAGUGUAGGAGAGGAAAGUGGAAUUCCACGUGUAGCGGUGAAAUGCGUAGAGAUGUGGAGGAACACCAGUGGCGAAGGCGACUUUCUGGCCUAUAACUGACGCUGAGGCGCGAAAGCGUGGGGAGCAAACAGG
RNAcentral lists this ribosomal RNA (253 nucleotides) under uncultured bacterium. RNAcentral's name for it is "partial 16S ribosomal RNA". It matches the Rfam family "Bacterial small subunit ribosomal RNA", at positions 524 to 776 of the family's 1533-position model. The record is from RNAcentral.